UGGGGAAUAUUGCACAAUGGGCGAAAGCCUGAUGCAGCAACGCCGCGUGAGUGAUGAAGGUCUUCGGAUUGUAAAGCUCUGUCUUUUGGGACGAUAAUGACGGUACCAAAGGAGGAAGCCACGGCUAACUACGUGCCAGCAGCCGCGGUAAUACGUAGGUGGCGAGCGUUGUCCGGAUUUACUGGGCGUAAAGGGUGCGUAGGCGGAUGUUUAAGUGAGAUGUGAAAUACCCGGGCUUAACUUGGGUGCUGCAUUUCAAACUGGAUAUCUAGAAUGCAGGAGAGGAGAAUGGAAUUCCUAGUGUAGCGGUGAAAUGCGUAGAGAUUAGGAAGAACACCAGUGGCGAAGGCGAUUCUCUGGACUGUAACUGACGCUGAGGCACGAAAGCGUGGGUAGCAAACAGGAUUAGAUACCCUGGUAGUCCACGCCGUAAACGAUGAGUACUAGGUGUAGGAGGUAUCGACCCCUUCUGUGCCGCAGUAAACACAUUAAGUACUCCGCCUGGGAAGUACGAUCGCAAGAUUAAAAC
RNAcentral lists this ribosomal RNA (529 nucleotides) under uncultured bacterium. RNAcentral's name for it is "partial 16S ribosomal RNA". It matches the Rfam family "Bacterial small subunit ribosomal RNA", at positions 355 to 900 of the family's 1533-position model. The record is from RNAcentral.